RNA transcript from Homo sapiens (human), 190 nucleotides. It is a transcript of the gene named ULK4 pseudogene 2, with no coding region annotated. The record is from RefSeq and is marked validated. Lineage: Eukaryota; Metazoa; Chordata; Mammalia; Primates; Hominidae.
GGGGUGAGGGGUAAGAGGAGAACCAGGAGCCACAGCCGCGGCUCACGCCCCACCGCAACAUUAAGAUUACAAGUGGACACCUGAGUCAGCAGGACCUGGAAUCCCAGAUGAGAGAGCUUAUCUACACGACUCAGAUCUUGUUGUCACCCCCAUUAUUGACAAUCCAAAGGUGCAGAAAGCACUCUGACAA